ACACGAGCCGGACGCGGACAUGGUCUCGAAUGUGGACUGCACGGCACGCGGGGAAGUUGAGCUACAGCUCAACUUUGGCCCUUUUGGCCCCCAGUUUCCCGCCGUAAGCCGCUAAAACAAAUGAGCUUUGUUUGACGUCCUCCUCCUGCUUGUGCGGACUGCAUUCUAUUCCGGCCAUGCUAACCAUUCGCAAUGUGCAGCUGCCACGCGGUGCAAACUAGAAUGAACUAACGAACUUUUAACAUUUCCACAUUAAUUCAGCAGGACCGCUACAGUGGGAAAUGGCAGGCGAAUGCUCAUGUUUAUCUAACUAUUUAAAUAAUAAAAGUGUCUGGAAUAACAUGUGUCUGAAUCCAAUGAUUUUGUUGCAAACUUGCUUUAUAAAUAGUAUACUGUACAG
Molecule: non-coding RNA, 400 nt
Organism: Drosophila melanogaster (fruit fly)
Lineage: Eukaryota; Metazoa; Arthropoda; Insecta; Diptera; Drosophilidae
Source: Ensembl